GGGGAAUAUUGCGCAAUGGGGGGAACCCUGACGCAGCAACGCCGCGUGAGUGAAGAAGGUCUUCGGAUCGUAAAACUCUGUCAUAGGGGAAGAAGGAGAUGACGGUACCCUAUGAGGAAGCCCCGGCUAACUACGUGCCAGCAGCCGCGGUAAUACGUAGGGGGCGAGCGUUGUCCGGAAUUACUGGGCGUAAAGGGUGCGUAGGCGGCUGAUUAAGUCAGAUGUGAAAUACCAGGGCUCAACCCUGGGGGUGCAUUUGAAACUGGCCAGCUUGAGUGCAGGAGAGGGAAGUGGAAUUCCUAGUGUAGCGGUGAAAUGCGUAGAGAUUAGGAGGAACACCAGUGGCGAAGGCGACUUCCUGGACUGUAACUGACGCUGAGGCACGAAAGCGUGGGGAGCAAAC
This 403-nucleotide ribosomal RNA is filed under the name uncultured bacterium. Its description in RNAcentral is "bacterial SSU rRNA". It matches the Rfam family "Bacterial small subunit ribosomal RNA", at positions 356 to 773 of the family's 1533-position model. The record is from RNAcentral.